Molecule: non-coding RNA, 685 nt
Organism: Python bivittatus (Burmese python)
Lineage: Eukaryota; Metazoa; Chordata; Lepidosauria; Squamata; Pythonidae
Source: RefSeq, a predicted model, not a curated record
GGCUCCUUCGGCUUGGGGAACCGAGCAAAUUGGUUGGACUCUGAGGUGAAACAGUCUUGGGACUAGCUGGUAUUUAUCUGAGAAACUAUCCGGAAAUACAGAAGUAUAAGCUGGACUGGGAAGUCAUGUUUAAAGCCCCAACAUUUUAAAAGGUGACGAAUGAGAAGCAGAAGACAGCCAUUUGGAAGAAGGCCGUGGCAGACCAUCUUUGCAUUGUUACCUCCCAAAAUUGUACGGGAUGUGCCCCUGAAGCCACCAGAAGCGGAGCUCGACUCCAAGCAGGCUUGACUUGAAUCCUUUGCACGCGUUUGCUUGCUUCUGAAGAAAGCGGCAUAGGAUGGCUCCGUCCUCCCCCACCCCCAGGGCAAUUUUUGCGACUAUAGAGUAACAGAACAGCUAAGGACGAGGAGUGAUGGGGAAGGAAUUGAAGGUGCCAUCAUAUUGGUAUCCAUUGGCUGUGAACCAUCCUGGGUCAUCUGAUCUUCUGGAGUUCUACAGAUUAGGCUGGAGAAGGAAUUGAAGUUGCACUGGGAUUCACAACAGAGAAAAGCAGCAAGGAUGACCUAUCCUCACUUUCCUCAUUUUCAGCUCCCAAAGCUGGACAAAUGUAUACAAGGGAAACUCACAGCAUUCCAAUGGUUUAAGUUCAUGAUGGCUCUGAAGAUCGGGCCAGCGCCACACACGA